UUUUACACUUUAUUUGCCAGAGUUCAUGCUCCUUUCUAUUUUCUUCACUAGGAUUUAACUUCCACUUUGAAAGGAUACCUUUUUGCUUCUCGUUGCUUCUAUAAUCUGUUGUACAGUUAACUA
Non-coding RNA from Chelonoidis abingdonii (Abingdon island giant tortoise), 123 nucleotides. The record is from RefSeq and is a predicted model, not a curated record. Lineage: Eukaryota; Metazoa; Chordata; Testudines; Testudinidae.